Long non-coding RNA from Diceros bicornis minor, 284 nucleotides. RefSeq lists it as uncharacterized. Lineage: Eukaryota; Metazoa; Chordata; Mammalia; Perissodactyla; Rhinocerotidae. The transcript has 3 exons. The record is from RefSeq and is a predicted model, not a curated record.
AACCCACAUGCCUUGGGUUCAAGAAAUUCACCAGGUUCUCAAGUAGCCAGUAAUCCGAGACAAGCAGCCUAUGAAAUGAGGAUGCAGAAUAAUUCUAGUCCUUCAGUAUCUCCUAAUACGAGUUUCACUUCUGAUGGCUCCCCAUCUCCGAUAGGAGGAAUUAAGCGAAAAGCAGAAGACAGUGACAGUGAACCUGAACCAGAGGAUAACGUCAGGCUUUGGGAAGCUGGGUGGAAGCAGCGGUACUACAAGAACAAAUUUGACGUUGAUGCAGCUGAUGACAA